UACAGAGGUCCCAAGCGUUGUUCGGAUUCACUGGGCGUAAAGGGUGCGUAGGCGGUCGGGGUAAGUCUGACGUGAAAUCUUCAAGCUUAACUUGGAAACUGCGUCGGAUACUAUUCGGCUGGAGGAAUGGAGGGGAGACUGGAAUACUUGGUGUAGCAGUGAAAUGCGUAGAUAUCAAGUGGAACACCAGUGGCGAAGGCGAGUCUCUGGACAUUUCCUGACGCUGAGGCACGAAAGCCAGGGGAGCGAACGGG
Molecule: ribosomal RNA, 254 nt
Filed under: uncultured bacterium
Lineage: Bacteria
Description: partial 16S ribosomal RNA
Rfam family: Bacterial small subunit ribosomal RNA
Source: RNAcentral